UACGUAGGCAGCGAGCGUUGUUCGGAGUUACUGGGCGUAAAGGGUGUGUAGGCGGUUCUUUAAGUUUGGUGUGAAAUCUCCCGGCUCAACCGGGAGGGUGCGCCGAAUACUGAGGGACUUCGAGUGCGGGAGAGGAAAGUGGAAUUCCUGGUGUAGCGGUGAAAUGCGUAGAUAUCAGGAGGAACACCGACGGCGCAGGCAGCGUCCUGGCCGCUUGCUGACACUGAGGCACGAAAGCUGGGGGAGCAAACAGG
This 254-nucleotide ribosomal RNA is filed under the name uncultured bacterium. RNAcentral's name for it is "partial 16S ribosomal RNA". It matches the Rfam family "Bacterial small subunit ribosomal RNA", at positions 524 to 776 of the family's 1533-position model. The record is from RNAcentral.